RNAcentral lists this ribosomal RNA (500 nucleotides) under uncultured bacterium. RNAcentral describes it as "bacterial SSU rRNA". It matches the Rfam family "Bacterial small subunit ribosomal RNA", at positions 23 to 555 of the family's 1533-position model. The record is from RNAcentral.
CUCAGAAUCAACGCUGGCGGCGUGCCUAACACAUGCAAGUCGAACGAGAAAGUGGAGCAAUCCAUGAGUACAGUGGCGUACGGGUGAGUAACACGUGACUAACCUACCCUCGAGUGGGGAAUAACCUCGGGAAACCGGGGCUAAUACCGCAUAACAUCUUCGGAUCAAAUGCGUAAGCAGCUUGAGGAGGGGGUCGCGGCCGAUUAGCUAGUUGGCGGGGUAAUGGCCCACCAAGGCAAUGAUCGGUAGCCGGCCUGAGAGGGCGCACGGCCACACUGGAACUGAAACACGGUCCAGACUCCUACGGGAGGCAGCAGUGGGGAAUUUUGCGCAAUGGGGGAAACCCUGACGCAGCAACGCCGCGUGGAGGAUGAAGCCCUUUGGGGCGUAAACUCCUUUCGACCGGGACGAUUAUGACGGUACCGGAAGAAGAAGCACCGGCUAACUCUGUGCCAGCAGCCGCGGUAAUACAGAGGGUGCAAGCGUUGUCCGGAAUCACU